Molecule: long non-coding RNA, 506 nt
Organism: Zophobas morio
Lineage: Eukaryota; Metazoa; Arthropoda; Insecta; Coleoptera; Tenebrionidae
Exons: 3
Source: RefSeq, a predicted model, not a curated record
UACACUGACGUCAUCCGAGGUCACCAAGAUGGCAGCGUUUGACAACUAGCCGGUUUUCUCAUAAGAGUCAAUGCUAAUAUUUUCGGAAUUCAUUUAAAUUUGAGAGUGUGUCAACUGUGUUUUUAUAGUUUGGAGAAAAUGCCUACAUUUUGUGCUGUUGUGGGUUGCGCGAAUCGAAGCACCAGAAAUGCGGACAAAUUUUAUUUUCCUUUCCCAGCAAUUAGCAACAAUAAAGGUAAAUAUAUACAGGAUGGGGAAAAAGGCGGAAGCUUUGGUUAAAAGCCUUGAAACGAGUGGAUUUAGCGAAGCCAAAGUAAAGUAUUCCUAUAUUUGUUCGGACCAUUUUAUUUUAGGUAAACCUGCAGAUUUGUCGGUUGUGGACCACCCUGAUUAUAUUCCAUCACAAAAUUUAGGAUAUCAAAAUAAAUCCACUCAAUAUUUGUAAUGUUGAAAGACACAGUUGUUUAAAAAAGAGAAAACUGAAUAAAUGGCUCUAGACUUUUGAA